CUGGGGGUUUCCAGGAGGUUCCUCAGGCAGAGAUGAGGCACCGUGCUCUUUAAAGGUCAGAACUCAGGAUGAAACUCUGCAGGUUUUCGUAAGAACAAACCAUUGUCCCGGGUCCCUGCCCUGCCCC
Molecule: long non-coding RNA, 127 nt
Organism: Ficedula albicollis (Collared flycatcher)
Lineage: Eukaryota; Metazoa; Chordata; Aves; Passeriformes; Muscicapidae
Exons: 3
Source: RefSeq, a predicted model, not a curated record